This 114-nucleotide ribosomal RNA is filed under the name Carlito syrichta (Philippine tarsier). Lineage: Eukaryota; Metazoa; Chordata; Mammalia; Primates; Tarsiidae. The record is from RNAcentral.
GUCGAUAGCCAUACCACCCUGAACCUGCCUGAUCUCAUCUGAUCUCAGAAGUUAAACAGGUUCAGGUCUGGUUAGUACUCAGAUGGGAGAAUAGAAUGAUAGAUACCAGAGACA